UCGUCCUCUGGGCCCUCCUUUCCCUGGUCCUGCAGGUCUUGCUGCUUGUCAGGCCUCUCCUCCAACCCUCUGCCACAUUUCAGAAAAGCUGAGAACCCCUUGGAGUGAAAAAGGAGGAGAAACACGGUGUCUGUAUCCCAGCAGGAAGUUAAAUAAAUACUUUCACUUCUCUUUUCCCCAUUUGGGCAGAAAUCUGUGAGGGUGAGUCAGUCUGUCGGCCGACUUCCUGCUCCGGGUCUGGGCAGCCACACUGCACGCAGGCUGGGCCGACUGGGGAGCUCAUAGGCCAGGCUCUGACACCCAGGCAGGGCCUAGGGUGGGACGAUGGCAGGUGGGGGCAGCGACCUGAGCACCAGGGGGCUGAACGGAGGUGUUUCACAAGUAGCAAAUGAGAUGAACCAUCUUCCUGCACACAGCCAAAGUCUGCAAAGGCUGUUCACAGAAGACCAGGAUGUAGAUGAGGGACUUGUCUAUGACACUUUAUUCAAGCACUUCAAAAGACAUAAGCUGGAGAUAUCAAAUGCAAUAAAAAAGACAUUUCCAUUCCUUGAGGGCCUCCGCGAUCGUGAACUCAUCACAAAUAAAAUGUUUGAAGAUUCUGAAGAUUCUUGUAGAAACCUGGUCCCUGUACAAAGAGUGGUGUACAAUGUUCUCAGUGAACUGGAGAAGACAUUUAACCUGUCAGUUUUGGAAGCACUGUUCAGCGAGGUCAACAUGCAGGAAUACCCCGAUUUAAUUCACAUUUAUAAAAGCUUCAAAAAUGCAAUCCAAGACAAAUUGUCUUUCCAAGAAAGUGAUCGAAAAGAAAGAGAAGAGAGUCCUGACAUCAAACUAAGUCUUAAACAAGGAGCAGAGCGACCAGCAUGUGAAAAUGAGAAGUGUUCCUAUGUCAUGUGUUUCUCAGGAGAGGUGCCAGAAAGCCCGGAAGCAAGGAAGGAAAGUGACCAAGCAUGUGGCAAAAUGGAUACUGUGGAUAUUGCAAACAACUCCACUUUGGGAAAACCCAAGAGGAAAAGAAGAAAAAAGAAGGGGCAUGGCUGGAGCAGAAUGGGAACGAGAAGGCAGAAAAACAGCCAACAAAAUGAUAACAGCAAAGCCGAUGGCCAGCUGGUCUCGAGUGAAAAGAAGGCGAACAUGAAUCUGAAAGACCUUUCCAAGAUUAGGGGGAGAAAGAGAGGCAAACCUGGAACCCGCUUUACUCAGAGUGACAGAGCUCCACAGAAAAGAGUCCGAUCAAGAGCUUCAAGAAAGCACAAAGAUGAAACUGUGGAUUUUCAGGCUCCUUUACUUCCAGUGACCUGUGGUGGGGUGAAGGGAAUUUUACAUAAGGAGAAAUUGGAACAAGGAACCUUGGCGAAAUGUAUACAGACUGAGGAUGGAAAAUGGUUCACCCCCAUGGAAUUUGAAAUCAAAGGAGGCUACGCAAGAUCAAAGAACUGGAGGCUGAGUGUGCGCUGUGGCGAGUGGCCCCUACGACGGCUGAUGGAGGAAGGAUCUCUACCUAAUCCUCCAAGAAUAUAUUACAGGAACAGAAAGAGAAUACUGAAGUCUCAAAACAAUAGCUCAGUUGACCCUUGUAUGAGAAACUUGGAUGAGUGUGAGGUGUGCCGGGAUGGAGGGGAGCUGUUCUGUUGCGACACUUGUUCAAGAGUCUUCCAUGAGGACUGUCACAUCCCACCUGUGGAAGCUGAGAGAUGGGGAAGGAGCAGGUUCAUCGGGUACUGGGACCCAGCAGUGUGAUCCAGAGAGCAGUGGGAGACGCUGGCAGCAGGAGGACCCCGUGGAAUUGCAUCUUCUGCAGGAUGAAGGAGUCUCCGGGAAGCCAACAGUGUUGUCAGGAAUCUGAGGUCCUGGAGAGGCAGAUGUGUCCUGAGGAACAGUUGAAAUGUGAGUUCCUCCUCUUGAAAGUCUAUUGCUGUUCUGAGAGCUCCUUUUUUGCCAAGAUUCCAUACUAUUAUUAUAUUAGAGAGGCGUGUCAAGGCCUGAAGGAGCCCAUGUGGUUGGAUAAAAUCAAGAAAAGGCUGAAUGAGCACGGUUACCCCCAAGUGGAGGGGUUUGUACAAGACAUGCGCCUCAUCUUCCAGAACCACAGGGCCUCUUACAAGUAUAAGGAUUUUGGCCAAAUGGGACUUAGACUGGAGGCUGAAUUUGAGAAGGAUUUUAAGGAAGUGUUUGCUAUUCAGGAAACAAAUGGGAACAGUUGACUGGUUUAGUGGAUGCUGAAGGCCUUCAGGAAAUAAGCUACUGGUUGCCACUGACUUCAAACUGAGAGCACUUGGGAAAUAGCACAUGCAGGGAGCGGCUUUUCUCUGAGCCUCCCUCAUCUGCCCAAAAACAAAUCCUCAAAAGAAAUUUGAUCAUCAUGAAUCCCAUCCCCAAGAAUCUCAUCAACCAGGGAAGAGGAACUGAGAUCACAGGGAAGGAGAUUGGAGGUAAUACCAGCACAGACAGACUCUCACCUCUUCUCCUGAGGUCUGCUCCAGACAACAUUUAUUACUCACAAGACCUUUUUCCUCCGUUUUUUUUUUUUGAGAUGGAGUCUCACACAGUCGCCCGGGAUUGGAAUGCAAUGGCGCAAUCUCAGCUCACUGCAACCUCUGCCUCCCGGAUUCAAGUGAUUCUCCUGUCUCAGCCUCCCGAGUAGCUGGGAUUACAGUGCCUGCCACCAUGUCCAGCUAAUUUUUUGCAUUUUUAGUGGAGACGGGGUUUCACUAUGUUGGCCAGGUUGGUCUCGAAGUCCUGACCUCAUGAGCCGCCCGCCUUGGCCUCCCAAAGUGCUGGGACAUGACAGGAGUGAGCCACCACGCCUGGCCACUCGCAAGACCUUUUAUCUGAAAACCAGCCAAGCUUUAUUCACGACACACUUCUUCCCUUCACUCUCCCACUUCUGUGGCCAACUCCCUGCAGAACUCCCAAACCGCCGUUCUUUUCGAUAGCUCACGAUGGUGUAUGAGUGUCAAUCAUCUGACCCUUCUCGGAGUCUCAUAUUUCGUGGAACUCCUGUGCAAACAUAUAUUAUUAAAAUUUUUUUCCUCCUGUCAA
This is an RNA transcript of Pan troglodytes (chimpanzee), 3042 nucleotides long. It is a transcript of the gene named SP140 nuclear body protein like, with no coding region annotated. NCBI's taxonomy places the organism in Eukaryota, Metazoa, Chordata, Mammalia, Primates, Hominidae. The record is from RefSeq and is a predicted model, not a curated record. The transcript has 20 exons.